AAGUCGUAACAAGGUCUCUGUUGGUGAACCAGCGGAGGGAUCAUUGCAGAGUUGCAAAACUCCUCAAACUAUCGUGAACCUUUACCGCUAAACAGUUGCUUCGGCGGGUGGCCCGCGGGAGGAAUCCAAAAAACCAUCGCUUUCAGCACCGGCCUCUCUGAGUUACUCUACUUUUAAUUAACCUAGUCAAAACUUUCAACAACGGAUCUCUUGGUUCUG
This 219-nucleotide unclassified non-coding RNA is filed under the name Podospora bulbillosa. Its description in RNAcentral is "partial internal transcribed spacer region". The stretch from base 1 to 46 matches the Rfam family "Eukaryotic small subunit ribosomal RNA", at positions 1786 to 1831 of the family's 1831-position model. Lineage: Eukaryota; Fungi; Ascomycota; Sordariomycetes; Sordariales; Podosporaceae. The record is from RNAcentral.